CGAAAGCCUGACGGAGCAAUACCGCGUGAGGGAGGAAGGCUCUUGGGUUGUAAACCUCUUUUCUCAGGGAAUAAAAAAUGAAGGUACCUGAGGAAUAAGCAUCGGCUAACCCUGUGCCAGCAGCCGCGGUAAUACGGGGGAUGCAAGCGUUAUCCGGAAUGAUUGGGCGUAAAGCGUCCGCAGGUGGCUAUGUAAGUCUGCUGUUAAAGAGCAAGGCUCAACCUUGUAAAGGCAGUGGAAACUACAUAGCUAGAGUGCGUUCGGGGCAGAGGGAAUUCCUGGUGUAGCGGUGAAAUGCGUAGAUAUCAGGAAGAACACCAACGGCGAAAGCGCUCUGCUAGGCCGAUACUGACACUGAGGGACGAAAGCUAGGGGAGCG
This 379-nucleotide ribosomal RNA is filed under the name uncultured Cylindrospermum sp. RNAcentral's name for it is "bacterial SSU rRNA". It matches the Rfam family "Bacterial small subunit ribosomal RNA", at positions 376 to 770 of the family's 1533-position model. The record is from RNAcentral. Lineage: Bacteria; Bacillati; Cyanobacteriota; Cyanophyceae; Nostocales; Nostocaceae.